GAUGAACGCUGGCGGCGUGCCUAAUACAUGCCAGUCGAGCGAACGGACGAGGAGCUUGCUUCUCUGAUGUUAGCGGCGGACGGGUGAGUAACACGUGGAUAACCUACCUAUAAGACUGGGAUAACUUCGGGAAACCGGAGCUAAUACCGGAUAAUAUUUUGAACCGCAUGGUUCAAUAGUGAAAGACGGUCUUGCUGUCACUUAUAGAUGGAUCCGCGCUGCAUUAGCUAGUUGGUAAGGUAACGGCUUACCAAGGCAACGAUGCAUAGCCGACCUGAGAGGGUGAUCGGCCACACUGGAACUGAGACACGGUCCAGACUCCUACGGGAGGCAGCAGUAGGGAAUCUUCCGCAAUGGGCGAAAGCCUGACGGAGCAACGCCGCGUGAGUGAUGAAGGUCUUCGGAUCGUAAAACUCUGUUAUUAGGGAAGAACAAAUGUGUAAGUAACUAUGCACAUCUUGACGGUACCUAAUCAGAAAGCCACGGCUAACUACGUG
This 497-nucleotide ribosomal RNA is filed under the name uncultured bacterium. Its description in RNAcentral is "partial 16S ribosomal RNA". It matches the Rfam family "Bacterial small subunit ribosomal RNA", at positions 28 to 507 of the family's 1533-position model. The record is from RNAcentral.